AAUCCCGUGAACCAUCGAGUCUUUGAACGCAAGUUGCGCCCCAAGCCUUCUGGCCGAGGGCAUGUCUGCCUGGGUGUCACAAAUCGUCGUCCCCAUCCUUUGCGGAUAAGGGACGGAAGUUGGUCUCCCGUGUGUUACCGCACGCGGUUGGCCUAAAUCUGAG
RNAcentral lists this ribosomal RNA (163 nucleotides) under Draba ritacuvana. Its description in RNAcentral is "5.8S ribosomal RNA". The stretch from base 1 to 79 matches the Rfam family "5.8S ribosomal RNA", at positions 78 to 154 of the family's 154-position model. The record is from RNAcentral. Lineage: Eukaryota; Viridiplantae; Streptophyta; Magnoliopsida; Brassicales; Brassicaceae.